GAUGAAGAACGCAGCGAAAUGCGAUAAGUAAUGUGAAUUGCAGAAUUUAGUGAAUCAUCGAGUCUUUGAACGCACAUUGCGCCCUCUGGUAUUCCGGAGGGCAUGCCUGUCCGAGCGUCAUUGCUGCCCUCAAGCACGGCUUGUGUGUUGGGCCCCGCCCCCCGAUCCCGGGGGGCGGGCCCGAAAGGCAGCGGCGGCACCGCGUCCGGUCCUCGAGCGUAUGGGGCUUUGUCACCCGCUCUGUAGGCCCGGCCGGCGCCUGCCGAUCAACCAAACUUUUUUCCAGGUUGACCUCGGAUCAGGUAGGGAUACCCGCUGAACUUAAGCAUAUCAAUAAGCGGAGGA
RNAcentral lists this unclassified non-coding RNA (345 nucleotides) under soil metagenome. RNAcentral describes it as "partial contains 5.8S ribosomal RNA, internal transcribed spacer 2, and large subunit ribosomal RNA". The stretch from base 1 to 120 matches the Rfam family "5.8S ribosomal RNA", at positions 35 to 154 of the family's 154-position model. The record is from RNAcentral.